AUGGAUCCAAGCCCUUCGAUUACAUGUUGGAACGUGCGAGGCCUGAAUAACCCGGCGAAAAGGAAGGCGGUGAGGGAGUUCAUCUCAUCGGUCAAGUGUAAUAUGGUGUGUCUCCAGGAGACGAAACUGGAUGUUGUAGACCAAUUUACUAUCAUGCAAUGUAUCGGACCAUCGUAUGAUGGCUUUGCUUACCUUCCGGCGACUGACACCCGUGGGGGUGUGGUCUUGGCGUGGGAUUCGACCGUGGUGCAGGUUGAUCAUGUUGUGCUGGAUACACACGCUCUAACCGGUCAGGUGCAUAACCUUGACGGGAGCUUAUGGUGGAUCACAGUAGUGUAUGCUCCGCAAGGAGACGAUUAG
Molecule: ribosomal RNA, 360 nt
Filed under: Triticum aestivum (bread wheat)
Lineage: Eukaryota; Viridiplantae; Streptophyta; Magnoliopsida; Poales; Poaceae
Description: partial small subunit ribosomal RNA
Source: RNAcentral